This 477-nucleotide ribosomal RNA is filed under the name uncultured bacterium. RNAcentral describes it as "partial 16S ribosomal RNA". It matches the Rfam family "Bacterial small subunit ribosomal RNA", at positions 30 to 507 of the family's 1533-position model. The record is from RNAcentral.
AUUGAACGCUGGCGGCAUGCCUUACACAUGCAAGUCGAACGGUAACAGGUUAAGCUGACGAGUGGCGAACGGGUGAGUAAUGUAUCGGAACGUGCCCAGUCGUGGGGGAUAACUGCUCGAAAGAGCAGCUAAUACCGCAUACGACCUGAGGGUGAAAGCGGGGGAUCGCAAGACCUCUCGCGAUUGGAGCUGCCGCUAUCAGAUUAGGUAGUUGGUGAGGUAAAGGCUCACCAAGCCGACGAUCUGUAGCUGGUCUGAGAGGACGACCAGCCACACUGGGACUGAGACACGGCCCAGACUCCUACGGGAGGCAGCAGUGGGGAAUUUUGGACAAUGGGCGCAAGCCUGAUCCAGCAAGGCCGCGUGCGGGAAGAAGGCCUUCGGGUUGUAAACCGCUUUUGUCAGGGAAGAAAAGGUUCUGGCUAAUACCUGGGACUCAUGACGGUACCUGAAGAAUAAGCACCGGCUAACUACGUG